AUACGGAGGAUGCGAGCGUUAUCCGGAUUUAUUGGGUUUAAAGGGUGCGCAGGCGGCCAUUUAAGUCAGCGGUUAAAUCGUGGGGCUCAACCCCAUUCUGCCGUUGAUACUGGGUGGCUUGAUUGCGGUCGAGGUUGGCGGAAUUCGUUGUGUAGCGGUGAAAUGCAUAGAUAUGACGAAGAACACCGAUUGCGUAGGCAGCUGACCAGACCGCAAAUGACGCUCAUGCACGAAAGUGUGGGGAUCGAACAGGAUUAGAUACCCUGGUAGUCCACGCAGUAAACGAUGAUGACUAACCGUCGGCGAUAGACCGCCGGUGGCCAAGCGAAAGCGAUAAGUCAUCCACCUGGGGAGUACGACCGCAAGGUUGAAACUCAAAGGAAUUGACGGGG
This 392-nucleotide ribosomal RNA is filed under the name uncultured bacterium. Its description in RNAcentral is "partial 16S ribosomal RNA". It matches the Rfam family "Bacterial small subunit ribosomal RNA", at positions 523 to 918 of the family's 1533-position model. The record is from RNAcentral.